GGGGCGUUAGUUCAGCGGGAGAAUACUUCGCUGGCAGCGAAGGAGUCAGGGGUUCGAAUCCCCUACGCUCCA
RNAcentral lists this transfer RNA (72 nucleotides) under Priestia flexa. RNAcentral's name for it is "tRNA-Ala". It matches the Rfam family "tRNA". From Rfam's summary of the family: Transfer RNA (tRNA) molecules are approximately 80 nucleotides in length. Their secondary structure includes four short double-helical elements and three loops (D, anti-codon, and T loops). The record is from RNAcentral. Lineage: Bacteria; Bacillati; Bacillota; Bacilli; Caryophanales; Bacillaceae.